GAAGAACCGACGGUCGAGCUGAAGCUUUUCGUGGACAAGGAGAAGAAUAGGGUCCUCUUCGCCGAGUCCGGCAAGGAGUUCGUCGACGUGCUCUUCGGCUUUCUCACGCUGCCUCUCGGCACCGUUGUUCGCCUCCUCGGCAAGCAGUCCCAGGUCGGAUGCCUCGACGAGAUCUACAAGAGCGUGGAGGAGCUCUCCACCGACUUCUUCAGAACCGAGGCCUGCAAGGCGAUGCUGCUUAGGCCCAUCAGCCCUGCGGCGAAGCAAUGCUGCGACCUCAAGGUCAGAGUCGACGACACCAAGCACAGGGAGGUCUAUGUUUGCGGCAACACGAGCUGUUGCGCCAAGGCCGACGGCUCGUUUAGCUCGGUUCCCGGUGCUCUCUGCAAAUGCGGCAAAGUCAUGGGGCAGAUCCCUGGAGAGUGGCCGGAGAAUUGUGAUAUCACUUUUGCUACUGGUUCUGUAGAUGGAGUUUUUGUCAAAGGAUGCUUGAAGUUUAUCGUGACUGAUGAUCUCCAAGUAGCACCAGCCUCAACUUCUCUCAUGUUGUCACUUUUUAAGAAGUUUGGGGUGGAGGAUCCCUCCCGUCUUGAGCAGAGGAUGAUCCAGCUCAGUUCAGUCGAGAUGACUAACUUGCUCAAGAGAUCAUUGACGUCGAAGCAGCCUUUAACUGGUCACUGUUUUGAUGUUGCCAUCUCAAAUGAUGUUUUAGCCCUAGAGAUGCUACUGGAGAGUUUACAUCCUAAGCAGGGAAAUGAUGCUGAGCAUGAGUUGGACAAUGUGAAGAUAAGAGUUCUUCAGACGAACAACUCAUCGCUGCUCUAUGCUGAAGUUAAUGACGAUUUCGUCGAGCUCCUAUUUGGCUUCCUGACCGUACCACUGGGAUCCAUCAUUGAGACUUAUGGUUCAUGGCCAUCAAUUGGAUGCAUCGGUAAUCUGUACAGUAGUAUAGAUGGAAGUGCUAAAAUGCCCAGAGAACAAUACCAGAGCCUGUUGCUAUCACCAAAGCUGGCGCCUUUCUUUACUUCCUGCGCUACCAAGAUAGUGCAAGCUGAAGAAUCAGCUCCAAGGAAGCAACAAAUCAAGGCAUGCUUCAAGUGCAUCAAGACAUUAGGUUUUCCCAAGCAUGUCAACUGUCACGCGAAAGAUCGACAUGGCAAUUAUGUGAAUUGCCGUGACACUGCAAAGACCACAAACCUCUGUGAAUGUGAUCCAAAAUCCCCAAAGGGAGGAAGUGACAAGGGUAAAGGGUAUGUCAAGCAAGGCCCUCAGAACUUCAUGGAGCUACUGAAAGCCGCCUUGGUGACUCCAAAAGCUCUCAGCUCGGUGCUUCUGCCUCCGAAGAACAAGAAGAAGCUGCCUCACCUCAGCACCGGCCUAUAUUAG
RNAcentral lists this ribosomal RNA (1386 nucleotides) under Triticum aestivum (bread wheat). RNAcentral describes it as "partial small subunit ribosomal RNA". Lineage: Eukaryota; Viridiplantae; Streptophyta; Magnoliopsida; Poales; Poaceae. The record is from RNAcentral.